CCCUGUACGCAGCACGCAGUACCACCUGUGCCCUCCAACAACUAAGGGCUUUCUCCCCAGAUCAGGCUCCUCAUGGGCACUCCUUCAGGAGAUUUCGCUCCCGAGGGCUUCCAAAUCUUCACCCCAACGGGUACUGAAGGGCAGCCCCAAAGCUGAACUGAUAAACCGCAGGCAAAUGUCCUGGGAAACUAGUAUUCAAUAAUCAAGUCAUAACUAAGUUCUUCAUUGAUAUACGUGUGUUAGCAAGCCAACUAAACUGCUGUUUGUUGAUUGGGUAAAGAA
This 282-nucleotide long non-coding RNA is filed under the name Equus caballus (horse). Its description in RNAcentral is "lncRNA (ENSECAG00000048636.1)". The record is from RNAcentral. Lineage: Eukaryota; Metazoa; Chordata; Mammalia; Perissodactyla; Equidae.